GCCUCCGCGCUGUCGCCAUCAACCACAUCAAGAUCUGUUUCCUGAGGUCUCAGUGGUCGGAUCAUGCUUAUGGCAUUCCUGUUCAUGCCAAACAUCCGGUCCGAACACAACUGCGGCUGGCUCAGGUGCCUUUUGAUGGCGUCAUUCCAUGGACUGAAUACAAGCAGACAGUGAGCUGAGCGCCAGUCAUCUCUCUCUGCUUCCUGACUACAGACUCAAGGUGACCGACCAUCUGCCUCAUGCUCCUGCCGCCAGGUCCUCCCUGUGCUGAUACACUAUAGCCUCAAACUAUCGGGACCAGAGAGACAUCCCACAAGAAAAGCCACCACACCCGCUGAGGUCAGGUCCAUCACCAGGACCCACAUGGUGGAAGGAAGGAGAGAGCCAAUUUCUGUUACAGUGUAGCGGAGACCAGAGACAAUGAGUUUAGUCACAGACCAUACAGCUCUGCGGUUCAGCCUAUGGUCGUAACUCUAACACGUGAGGCAGGGGAGCGAUGGUCACUGUCAAUGUCUAAGACAGACAGACUCUGCUCGGACCUUCUGCAAAGCAGCCGAGGCACAAGGCAUCUUCGAAGGACAUGCGUGCAAAAUCGCAGACCCAGGCCCUGCAUGGCCCAGAGCCUGCUAUGUUGGAAGCCUCUUUGAGACUUCAUGGGAAGGUCUAAAUACGGAAGGUCUUGUCAUAGAAGACAGAUGGAGAGCACUA
This is a long non-coding RNA of Meriones unguiculatus (Mongolian gerbil), 708 nucleotides long. RefSeq lists it as uncharacterized. Lineage: Eukaryota; Metazoa; Chordata; Mammalia; Rodentia; Muridae. The transcript is spliced from 5 exons. The record is from RefSeq and is a predicted model, not a curated record.